Molecule: unclassified non-coding RNA, 211 nt
Filed under: plant metagenome
Description: partial contains small subunit ribosomal RNA, internal transcribed spacer 1, and 5.8S ribosomal RNA
Source: RNAcentral
UUUCCGUAGGUGAACCUGCGGAACGAUCAUUCAUAAUAAAGUGUUUUAUGGCACUUUUUAAAAAUCCAUAUCCACCUUGUGUGCAAUGUUAGAUCUCGUCAAUCUUGGCGAGAUUUUUAUACAUCAACUCAUUCUUUAACUAAUUUGUCUGAAAAAUAUUAUGAAUACUUAAUUCAAAAUACAACUUUCAACAACGGAUCUCUUGGCUCUC